GCACGUAGUUAGCCGGYGCUUAUUCUUACGGUACCGUCAUUAGCCCUCUUUAUUAGAAAAGGCCGUUUCGUUCCGUACAAAAGCAGUUUACAACCCGAAGGCCUUCAUCCUGCACGCGGCAUGGCUGGAUCAGGCUUGCGCCCAUUGUCCAAAAUUCCCCA
RNAcentral lists this ribosomal RNA (161 nucleotides) under uncultured bacterium. RNAcentral's name for it is "partial 16S ribosomal RNA". The record is from RNAcentral.